Octopus bimaculoides (California two-spot octopus) is the source of this 136-nucleotide non-coding RNA. NCBI's taxonomy places the organism in Eukaryota, Metazoa, Mollusca, Cephalopoda, Octopoda, Octopodidae. The record is from Rfam.
AGCUUUGCGCAGAGGCGGUACCAUAGCCAAUGAGGGUUAUCCGAGGCGUGGUUAUUGCUAGUUGAAAACUAUUCCCAAUACCCCGCGAUGGCGCCUAAUGGGCGCCAAUCGCAAUUUUUAGGCACCUCUACGGAGG